Molecule: small nuclear RNA, 66 nt
Filed under: Diaphorina citri (Asian citrus psyllid)
Lineage: Eukaryota; Metazoa; Arthropoda; Insecta; Hemiptera; Psyllidae
Description: U4 spliceosomal RNA
Rfam family: U4 spliceosomal RNA
About the family: U4 small nuclear RNA (U4 snRNA) is a component of the major U2-dependent spliceosome. The structure of U4 snRNA from yeast and human has been reported.
Source: Rfam by way of RNAcentral
AACUUUGCGCAGCGGCGAUAUCGUAACCAAUGAGGUUUAUCCGAGGUGCGAUUAUUGCUAGUUGGA